RNAcentral lists this ribosomal RNA (429 nucleotides) under Gemmatimonadota bacterium. Its description in RNAcentral is "Gemmatimonadetes bacterium partial 16S ribosomal RNA". It matches the Rfam family "Bacterial small subunit ribosomal RNA", at positions 355 to 776 of the family's 1533-position model. Lineage: Bacteria; Pseudomonadati; Gemmatimonadota. The record is from RNAcentral.
UAGGGAAUCUUCGGCAAUGGACGAAAGUCUGACCGAGCAACGCCGCGUGAGUGAAGAAGGUUUUCGGAUCGUAAAACUCUGUUGUUAGAGAAGAACAAGGACGUUAGUAACUGAACGUCCCCUGACGGUAUCUAACCAGCAAGCCACGGCUAACUACGUGCCAGCAGCCGCGGUAAUACGUAGGUGGCUAGCGUUGUCCGGAUUUAUUGGGCGUAAAGCGAGCGCAGGCGGUUUCGUAAGUCUGAUGUGAAAGCCCCCGGCUCAACCGGGGAGGGUCAUUGGAAACUGGGAGACUUGAGUGCAGAAGAGGAGAGUGGAAUUCCAUGUGUAGCGGUGAAAUGCGUAGAUAUAAGGAGGAACACCAGUGGCGAAGGCGGCUCUCUGGUCUGUAACUGACGCUGAGGCUCGAAAGCGUGGGGAGCAAACAGG